UAAUUUCUCUCUUCUGCCGUUU
This 22-nucleotide small RNA is filed under the name Arabidopsis thaliana (thale cress). Its description in RNAcentral is "ATSL141910". Lineage: Eukaryota; Viridiplantae; Streptophyta; Magnoliopsida; Brassicales; Brassicaceae. The record is from RNAcentral.